RNAcentral lists this ribosomal RNA (487 nucleotides) under uncultured bacterium. Its description in RNAcentral is "partial 16S ribosomal RNA". It matches the Rfam family "Bacterial small subunit ribosomal RNA", at positions 31 to 507 of the family's 1533-position model. The record is from RNAcentral.
GAACGCUGGCGGCAGGCCUAACACCUGCCAGUCGAACGGUAACAGGAAGAAGCUUGCUUCUUUGCUGACGAGUGGCGGACGGGUGAGUAAUGUCUGGGAAACUGCCUGAUGGAGGGGGAUAACUACUGGAAACGGUAGCUAAUACCGCAUAACGUCGCAAGACCAAAGAGGGGGACCUUCGGGCCUCUUGCCAUCGGAUGUGCCCAGAUGGGAUUAGCUAGUAGGUGGGGUAACGGCUCACCUAGGCGACGAUCCCUAGCUGGUCUGAGAGGAUGACCAGCCACACUGGAACUGAGACACGGUCCAGACUCCUACGGGAGGCAGCAGUGGGGAAUAUUGCACAAUGGGCGCAAGCCUGAUGCAGCCAUGCCGCGUGUAUGAAGAAGGCCUUCGGGUUGUAAAGUACUUUCAGCGGGGAGGAAGGGAGUAAAGUUAAUACCUUUGCUCAUUGACGUUACCCGCAGAAGAAGCACCGGCUAACUCCGUG